GAUGAACGCUGGCGGCGUGCCUAAUACAUGCAAGUCGAACGCGCAGCGAAAGGUGCUUGCACCUUUCAAGCGAGUGGCGAACGGGUGAGUAACACGUGGAUAACCUACCUCAAGGCUGGGGAUAACAUUUGGAAACAGAUGCUAAUACCGAAUAAAACUUAGUAUCGCAUGAUACAAAGGUAAAAGGCGCUACGGCGUCACCUAGAGAUGGAUCCGCGGUGCAUUAGUUAGUUGGUGGGGUAAAGGCUUACCAAGACGAUGAUGCAGAGACGAGUUGAGAGACUGAUCGGCCACAUUGGGACUGAGACACGGCCCAAACUCCUACGGGAGGCUGCAGUAGGGAAUCUUCCACAAUGGGCGCAAGCCUGAUGGAGCAACGCCGCGUGUGUGAUGAAGGCUUUCGGGUCGUAAAGCACUGUUGUAUGGGAAGAAAUGCUAAAAUAGGGAAUGAUUUUAGUUUGACGGUACCAUACCAGAAAGGGACGGCUAAAUACGUGCCAGCAGCCGCCGUAA
This 513-nucleotide ribosomal RNA is filed under the name uncultured bacterium. RNAcentral's name for it is "partial 16S ribosomal RNA". It matches the Rfam family "Bacterial small subunit ribosomal RNA", at positions 28 to 523 of the family's 1533-position model. The record is from RNAcentral.